RNAcentral lists this ribosomal RNA (783 nucleotides) under uncultured bacterium. Its description in RNAcentral is "bacterial SSU rRNA". It matches the Rfam family "Bacterial small subunit ribosomal RNA", at positions 741 to 1533 of the family's 1533-position model. The record is from RNAcentral.
UGACGCUGAGGCGCGAAAGCGUGGGGAGCGAACCGGAUUAGAUACCCGGGUAGUCCACGCCCUAAACGAUGCGGGCUAGGUGUUGGUCCGGACCUGGAUCGGUGCCGCAGCUAACGCGUUAAGCCCGCCGCCUGGGCAGUACGGCCGCAAGGCUGAAGCUCAAGGGAAUUGACGGGGUCCCACACAAGCGGUGGAGCAUGUGGUUUAAUUCGAUGCUAAACGAAGAACCUUACCCGGGCUUGACAUGCAGGUGGUACCGCCCCGAAAGGGAAGGGACCCCGGGCCGAAAGGCGCCGGGGAGCCUGCACAGGUGCUGCAUGGCUGUCGUCAGCUCGUGCCGUGGGGUGUUGGGUUAAGUCCCGGAACGAGCGCAACCCUUGCCACCAGUUGCCAGCGGGCCCUGCGGGGCGCCGGGGACUCUGGUGGGACUGCCGGGGAAUACCCGGAGGAAGGAGGGGAUGACGUCAAGUCCUCAUGGCCCUUAUGCCCGGGGCGACACACAUGCUACAGUGCCCGGUACAAUGGGACGCCAAGGGGUGACCCGGAGCCAAUCCCACCAAAGCCGGGCAUGGUUCGGAUUGCAGGCUGCAACCAGCCUGCAUGAAGAGGGAAUCGCUAGUAAUCGCGGGUCAGCCAUACCGCGGUGAAUACGUACUUGGGGCUUGUACACACCGCCCGUCACGCCAACCGAGUGGGGGGCACUUGAAGUCGUCCGAAAAGGGCGCCGAGGGUGUCCUUCAUGAGAGGGGCGAAGUCGUAACAAGGUAACCAAGCUCAGGACGA